UACGUAGGGUGCAAGCGUUGUCCGGAAUUAUUGGGCGUAAAGAGCUCGUAGGCGGCUUGUCGCGUCGGCUGUGAAAACCUGGGGCUCAACCCCGGGCCUGCAGCCGAUACGGGCAGGCUAGAGUUCGGUAGGGGAGACUGGAAUUCCUGGUGUAGCGGUGAAAUGCGCAGAUAUCAGGAGGAACACCGAUGGCGAAGGCAGGUCUCUGGGCCGAUACUGACGCUGAGGAGCGAAAGCGUGGGGAGCGAACAGG
Molecule: ribosomal RNA, 253 nt
Filed under: uncultured bacterium
Lineage: Bacteria
Description: partial 16S ribosomal RNA
Rfam family: Bacterial small subunit ribosomal RNA
Source: RNAcentral